RNAcentral lists this ribosomal RNA (252 nucleotides) under uncultured bacterium. RNAcentral's name for it is "partial 16S ribosomal RNA". It matches the Rfam family "Bacterial small subunit ribosomal RNA", at positions 524 to 776 of the family's 1533-position model. The record is from RNAcentral.
UACGUAGGUCCCGAACGUUGUCCGGAUUUAUUGGGCGUAAAGCGAGCGCAGGUGGUUUAUUAAGUCUGGUGUAAAAGGCAGUGGCUCAACCAUUGUAUGCAUUGGAAACUGGUAGACUUGAGUGCAGGAGAGGAGAGUGGAAUUCCAUGUGUAGCGGUGAAAUGCGUAGAUAUAUGGAGGAACACCGGUGGCGAAAGCGGCUCUCUGGCCUGUAACUGACACUGGGGCUCGAAAGCGUGGGGAGCAAACAGG